GUGCUUGCCCAGUAGCACGUAUGCUAUACCUGGAGCAAUACAGAGAAGAUUAGCAUGGCCCCCGUGCAAGGAUGACAUGCUAAUUUGUGAAGUGCUCCAUAUUUUU
Neogale vison (American mink) is the source of this 106-nucleotide small nuclear RNA. NCBI's taxonomy places the organism in Eukaryota, Metazoa, Chordata, Mammalia, Carnivora, Mustelidae. The record is from Ensembl.